GGAUGAACCGCGUAGGCUACAGGCUUAACACAUGCAAGUCGAGGGGCAGUCAGGAAGAAAGGCUUGCUUUCUUUGCUGGCGACCGGCGCACGGGUGAGUAACACGUAUCCAACCUGCCCUUUACUCGGGGAUAGCCUUUCGAAAGAAAGAUUAAUACCCGAUGGCAUAAUGAUUCCGCAUGGUUUCAUUAUUAAAGGAUUCCGGUAAAGGAGUGGGGAUGCGUUCCAUUAGGUUGUUGGUGAGGUAACGGCCCACCAAGCCUUCGAUGGAUAGGGGUUCUGAGAGGAAGGUCCCCCACACUUGGAACUGAGACACGGUCCAA
RNAcentral lists this ribosomal RNA (322 nucleotides) under uncultured bacterium. RNAcentral describes it as "bacterial SSU rRNA". It matches the Rfam family "Bacterial small subunit ribosomal RNA", at positions 34 to 334 of the family's 1533-position model. The record is from RNAcentral.